This 433-nucleotide ribosomal RNA is filed under the name uncultured bacterium. RNAcentral's name for it is "partial 16S ribosomal RNA". It matches the Rfam family "Bacterial small subunit ribosomal RNA", at positions 29 to 507 of the family's 1533-position model. The record is from RNAcentral.
AACGAACGCUGGCGGCAUGCCUAACACAUGCAAGUCGAACGAGACCUUCGGGUCUAGUGGCGCACGGGUGCGUAACGCGUGGGAACCUGCCCUUAGGUUCGGAAUAACUCCCCGAAAGGGGUGCUAAUACCGGAUAAUGUCUUCGGACCAAAGAUUUAUCGCCUUUGGAUGGGCCCGCGUUGGAUUAGGUAGUUGGUAGGGUAAAAGACUACCAAGGCGACGAUCCAUAGCUGGUCUGAGAGGAUGAUCAGCCACACUGGGACUGAGACACGGCCCAGACUCCUACGGGAGGCAGCAGUGGGGAAUAUUGGACAAUGGGCGAAAGCCUGAUCCAGCAAUGCCGCGUGAGUGAUGAAGGCCUUAGGGUUGUAAAGCUCUUUUACCCGGGAUGAUAAUGACAGUACCGGGAGAAUAAGCUCCGGCUAACUCCGUG